Molecule: transfer RNA, 71 nt
Filed under: Limulus polyphemus (Atlantic horseshoe crab)
Lineage: Eukaryota; Metazoa; Arthropoda; Merostomata; Xiphosura; Limulidae
Description: tRNA-Gly
Rfam family: tRNA
About the family: Transfer RNA (tRNA) molecules are approximately 80 nucleotides in length.
Source: RNAcentral
GCAUCGGUGGUUCAGUGGUAGAAUACUCGCCUGCCACGCGGGUGGCCUGGGUUCGAUUCCCGGCCGAUGCA